RNAcentral lists this ribosomal RNA (599 nucleotides) under Psychrobacter nivimaris. RNAcentral's name for it is "bacterial SSU rRNA". It matches the Rfam family "Bacterial small subunit ribosomal RNA", at positions 83 to 680 of the family's 1533-position model. The record is from RNAcentral. Lineage: Bacteria; Pseudomonadati; Pseudomonadota; Gammaproteobacteria; Moraxellales; Moraxellaceae.
ACCAGGCGUCGAGCGGCGGACGGGUGAGUAAUACUUAGGAAUCUACCUAGUAGUGGGGGAUAGCACGGGGAAACUCGUAUUAAUACCGCAUACGACCUACGGGAGAAAGGGGGCAGUUUACUGCUCUCGCUAUUAGAUGAGCCUAAGUCGGAUUAGCUAGAUGGUGGGGUAAAGGCCUACCAUGGCGACGAUCUGUAGCUGGUCUGAGAGGAUGAUCAGCCACACCGGGACUGAGACACGGCCCGGACUCCUACGGGAGGCAGCAGUGGGGAAUAUUGGACAAUGGGGGAAACCCUGAUCCAGCCAUGCCGCGUGUGUGAAGAAGGCCUUUUGGUUGUAAAGCACUUUAAGCAGUGAAGAAGACUCUUCGGUUAAUACCCGGAGACGAUGACAUUAGCUGCAGAAUAAGCACCGGCUAACUCUGUGCCAGCAGCCGCGGUAAUACAGAGGGUGCAAGCGUUAAUCGGAAUUACUGGGCGUAAAGCGAGCGUAGGUGGCUUGAUAAGUCAGAUGUGAAAUCCCCGGGCUUAACCUGGGAACUGCAUCUGAAACUGUUAGGCUAGAGUAGGUGAGAGGGAAGUAGAAUUUCAGGUGUAGCG